CAGGGAGGACAGGUGGUGCAUGGUUGUCGUCAGCUCGUGUCGUGAGAUGUUGGGUUAAGUCCCGCAACGAGCGCAACCCCUACGUUUAGUUGCUAACGCGUGAAGGCGAGCACUCUAGACGAACUGCCGUUGACAAAACGGAGGAAGGUGGGGAUGACGUCAAAUCAUCAUGCCCCUUAUGUUCUGGGCUACACACGUGCUACAAUGGCCGGUACAGACGGACGCAAAGCCGCGAGGUGGAGCAAAUCCUAAAAAGCCGGUCUCAGUUCGGAUUGCAGGCUGCAAUUCGCCUGCAUGAAGUCGGAAUCGCUAGUAAUCGCAGGUCAGCAUACUGCGGUGAAUACGUUCCCGGGCCUU
RNAcentral lists this ribosomal RNA (357 nucleotides) under uncultured Pelotomaculum sp. RNAcentral's name for it is "bacterial SSU rRNA". It matches the Rfam family "Bacterial small subunit ribosomal RNA", at positions 1026 to 1382 of the family's 1533-position model. The record is from RNAcentral. Lineage: Bacteria; Bacillati; Bacillota; Clostridia; Eubacteriales; Desulfotomaculaceae.